UGGGGAAUUUUGGACAAUGGGCGAAAGCCUGAUCCAGCAAUGCCGCGUGUGUGAAGAAGGCCUUCGGUUGUAAAGCACUUUUGUCCGGAAAGAAAUCCUUGGCUCUAAUACAGUCGGGGGAUGACGGUACCGGAAGAAUAAGCACCGGCUAACUACGUGCCAGCAGCCGCGGUAAUACGUAGGGUGCAAGCGUUAAUCGGAAUUACUGGGCGUAAAGCGUGCGCAGGCGGUUUGCUAAGACCGAUGUGAAAUCCCCGGGCUCAACCUGGGAACUGCAUUGGUGACUGGCAGGCUAGAGUAUGGCAGAGGGGGGUAGAAUUCCACGUGUAGCAGUGAAAUGCGUAGAGAUGUGGAGGAAUACCGAUGGCGAAGGCAGCCCCCCUGGGCCAAUACUGACGCUCAUGCACGAAAGCGUGGGGAGCAAACAGGA
RNAcentral lists this ribosomal RNA (430 nucleotides) under uncultured bacterium. RNAcentral describes it as "partial 16S ribosomal RNA". It matches the Rfam family "Bacterial small subunit ribosomal RNA", at positions 355 to 777 of the family's 1533-position model. The record is from RNAcentral.